UGCGAGUUUGAACACUAGGGUGAUACU
RNAcentral lists this non-coding RNA (27 nucleotides) under Mus musculus (house mouse). Lineage: Eukaryota; Metazoa; Chordata; Mammalia; Rodentia; Muridae. The record is from RNAcentral.